RNAcentral lists this ribosomal RNA (440 nucleotides) under uncultured bacterium. RNAcentral describes it as "partial 16S ribosomal RNA". It matches the Rfam family "Bacterial small subunit ribosomal RNA", at positions 338 to 795 of the family's 1533-position model. The record is from RNAcentral.
CCUACGGGGGGCUGCAGUAGGGAAUAUUGCUCAAUGGGGGAAACCCUGAAGCAGCAACGCCGCGUGGAGGAUGAAGGUUUUAGGAUUGUAAACUCCUUUUGUUAGGGAAGAUUAUGACGGUAUCUAACGAAUAAGCACCGGCUAACUCCGUGCCAGCAGCCGCGGUAAUACGGAGGGUGCAAGCGUUACUCGGAAUCACUGGGCGUAAAGAGUGCGUAGGAGGGGUAAUAAGUCAGAUGUGAAAGCCUGUGGCUUAACUACAGAACUGCAUUUGAAACUGUUACUCUGGAGUGUGGGAGAGGUAGGUGGAAUUCUUGGUGUAGGGGUAAAAUCCGUAGAGAUCAAGAGGAAUACUCAUUGCGAAGGCGACCUGCUGGAACAUUACUGACGCUGAUGCACGAAAGCGUGGGGAGCAAACAGGAUUAGAUACCCUAGUAGUC